Molecule: ribosomal RNA, 408 nt
Filed under: uncultured bacterium
Lineage: Bacteria
Description: partial 16S ribosomal RNA
Rfam family: Bacterial small subunit ribosomal RNA
Source: RNAcentral
GACGAACGCUGGCGGCGUGCUUAACACAUGCAAGUCGAACGAAGUGGCGAACGGGUGAGUAACGCGUAAUCAACCUGCCCUUCAGCGGGGGACAACAGUUGGAAACGACUGCUAAUACCGCAUACUGAAGUAGGGGUUUGCGUCUGAUUAGCUUGUUGGCGGGGUAACGGCCCACCAAGGCGAUGAUCAGUAGACGGUCUGAGAGGAGAAACGGCAAAAAUGGGACUGAGACACGGCCCAGACUCCUAAGGGAGGACGAAGUGGGGAAUCUUCCGCAAUGGACGAAAGUCUGACGGAGCAACGCCGCGUGAGUGAUGACGGCCUUCGGGUUGUAAAGCUCUGUUAAUCGGGACGCGGUACCGGAAUAGAAAGCCACGGAUAACUACGUGCCAGCAGCCGCGGUAAUAC